Molecule: long non-coding RNA, 2385 nt
Filed under: Pelobates cultripes (western spadefoot toad)
Lineage: Eukaryota; Metazoa; Chordata; Amphibia; Anura; Pelobatidae
Source: RNAcentral
CAGAUAUCCGUUUGGGAAUUCCAAGUCUGGGACAAUCCAUGGUUACAUAAGAAAACACUUGUUAGUUACUCUUGUACAACACAGUGAGCAGGAGUUACACAGAAACACAUACUGAUAUCACACUGAAACAAAUUUAUUUAACAAAUGUUUAACAAUCAUUUCUUUUCUGAGUGUCUUAUUUAACUUAGUAUGUAUGUAUAAAAUGGUUUUUUUUUUUUUUUUUUUAAUAAAUCACUAAAUGGCUUAUAUAAAAGACUUUCAACAAUCUCAUCAACAAAAUCAGACAAACAAAGAUGCACCCACACACAUAUGUUAGGGGCACCUUUUAGGCUCUUUAAUAAUUUUAUUUUGUUGAGAUUUCUUUAGUCCCAGCAAACCUGCCUCCACUCUCUUAACCUGCAAAACCCUUCAGUUCUCUAAUCAGAGGGCAUGGAAGUGCAGCAUCAAGCCAUGUCUCCAAGCCCUCUGAGUAUGUAUGUCAGAAUGUAUCUAUCUAUCUGUAUGUAUGUGUAUGUAUAUAUGUAUGUCAGUAUGUGUAUGUAUAUGUCUUUCUGUCUGUAUGUAUGUCAGUAUGUAUGUAUGUCUGUCGGUAUGUAUGUAUGUCAGAAUGUAUAUGUGUGUGGAUGUAUGUCUUAUGCGUGUGUGUGUGUGUGUUUGUAUGUUAGUAUGUGUCUGUAUAUGUCUGUGUGUCUGAUUCAGUAUGUGUGUAUGUCUGUUAGUAUGUAUGUGUAUGUGUCAGUAUGUGUGUAUCUUUGUGUCUUUUUUGUAUCAGUUCGUGUGUUUGUGUCUGUGUUUGUGUAUUCCUGUGGGCAGGUUUAAAGAGUGGAUUUGGGGGCAGGCUUGGAGGUGGGCCCCCGGGGGCCCAGACCUUGAGCAGUGUUAGGGGCCUCAAAAUUUCUGAUGGAUCAGUGUGAUUAUGCAAAACAGACUCCGGUGUCGGGUUUCUCUCUUCUGUUGUUGCACAAUACUGCCCUGUUUCAGCUAUAAGUGGAAAAUGCAGAUGGGUGGGUAAAAGGGAAGGGGGAUAUCCUGACGAAACUCCCCUAGCUGACAGGCGCACCCAACAAUGCAAACUAACAAUGUUUAUAUUAAGUUUAUAAACAUUUAUUACCGCCUUACCAAGAUUUUUUUUUUUUUUUUGCUUUAUUUUGUUUAUUUUGUUUUGCAUAUUUGUCUAAAAGUGUUUGCUUUCUGGUUUACAAAAUUUUUUUGAAUGAUGCAUGUCCCUUUAAUUAUCUCCUUCUCUCCUAAUUUAUAUGCUGGAGAAGAUUCUAGGCAGAAUAAACUCCCUCAUGGUUAUUUAUUUAUUUAUCAAAUAUUUUGCCAGGAAGAAUAAAUUGAGAUUUCUUUAUUUCUUUAUUUUGGGUACACAAACAUUGCAUUGCUACAAUAGGGUACAAUAGAAUAUUAGAAAUACAAAAUAAUAUUAAAAAUAUGCAUGUAUAACUUUAACACAGAAUAGGUUAGAAAUAUAACCACCCAUGAUUACAGGUGCAUUCUGUAUUUAGAUAUGCUGAUAGAGAUCUCUUAAAGGAAGAUGUAGUUGUGUCCAUGAGGUUAUUCUAAAAUUGCCGUGCUCUGUAAGAAAAUGAGGAUCAAGCUACUUUCUAUUAUUUACUAAAGUGUGAAUUGUCAGGAAUUCAAAUUGAAAUUCAAAGUGCAUUUUACAUUUUCGACAAAUAUUCUACAGUUCAAUUCUUUUCCAGGUUGUCUAUUGCGGUCAGUUUUGGUUUGAGUUCACGUUGAACUCAAUCUCUCUCUUUCUCGCUCUGUCUCUCAAACAUAUCCCUUGGCAUGUUGGUAAAAAGAAAGGGAUAACAUUAAUGGCAUCAGUUAUGAGCUAUAACUGCCUUCAAAAAAUGGAAUGAAAUACCCAUAUAACAGUAAACAUACAUUUUGACCUUUAAACCGUAUACAGGGACUGAACCGUCUUUUGAAAUACAUUGAUCAUGUUCAGAUACUCCAAAUCUUAUCCUUAAUGUAAUAUGUGGCAGAACACCAGCCCAUAAAGGGUCCUGAGAGUGAAAACAACCCAGGUGAUGCUUAGAGGAGAUGGCAUGUUGCCAAACCUACAAGGGUCAGACAGGAGUUUUCAUGGGGAGUCGGGCAUUACUGGAGAUGGCUGCUUAUGGGUUUCUUGUGAAAUGUUGUUAAAUUAAAAAAAAUAUAUAGGCACCUAAUUUAUUGCAGCACGUGUUACCUGCUGUAUUCCAAACGUGAACAGAACUGUAAACUGUGGUGUCCGGCAGUAAGGUUGCGUGGCUAGUUAUGUAUGUGUGUCUGCAUCUGGCUAUUUAGAUAUGUGUGAGUGGCUAAUUAUGACCUCGAUGUAAUAAGCUUUCCGAAUGAUUUAAUAUAGAUAGAAAUACUUUCCAGAUAAUUUAU